RNAcentral lists this ribosomal RNA (425 nucleotides) under uncultured bacterium. RNAcentral describes it as "partial 16S ribosomal RNA". It matches the Rfam family "Bacterial small subunit ribosomal RNA", at positions 354 to 796 of the family's 1533-position model. The record is from RNAcentral.
GUGGGGAAUCUUGCGCAAUGGGCGAAAGCCUGACGCAGCCAUGCCGCGUGAAUGAUGAAGGUCUUAGGAUUGUAAAAUUCUUUCACCGGGGACGAUAAUGACGGUACCCGGAGAAGAAGCUCCGGCUAACUUCGUGCCAGCAGCCGCGGUAAUACGAAGGGGGCUAGCGUUGCUCGGAAUUACUGGGCGUAAAGGGCGCGUAGGCGGACAGCUUAGUCAGAGGUGAAAGCCCAUGGCUCAACCUUGGAAUUGCCUUUGAUACUGGCUGUCUUGAGUUUGGGAGAGGAGAGUGGAACUCCGAGUGUAGAGGUGAAAUUCGUAGAUAUUCGGAAGAACACCAGUGGCGAAGGCGACUCACUGGCCCAAUACUGACGCUGAGGCGCGAAAGCGUGGGGAGCAAACAGGAUUAGAAACCCGGGUAGUCC